AAUGCUUAGGAAUCUGCCUAUUAGUGGGGGACAACGUUUCGAAAGGAACGCUAAUACCGCAUACGCCCUACGGGGGAAAGCAGGGGAUCUUCGGACCUUGCGCUAAUAGAUGAGCCUAAGUCAGAUUAGCUAGUUGGUGGGGUAAAGGCCUACCAAGGCGACGAUCUGUAGCGGGUCUGAGAGGAUGAUCCGCCACACUGGGACUGAGACACGGCCCAGACUCCUACGGGAGGCAGCAGUGGGGAAUAUUGGACAAUGGGGGGAACCCUGAUCCAGCCAUGCCGCGUGUGUGAAGAAGGCCUUUUGGUUGUAAAGCACUUUAAGCGAGGAGGAGGCUCUUCUAGUUAAUACCUAGGAUGAGUGGACGUUACUCGCAGAAUAAGCACCGGCUAACUCUGUGCCAGCAGCCGCGGUAAUACAGAGGGUGCGAGCGUUAAUCGGAUUUACUGGGCGUAAAGCGUACGUAGGCGGCUUUUUAAGUCGGAUGUGAAAUCCCUGAGCUUAACUUAGGAAUUGCAUUCGAUACUGGGAAGCUAGAGUAUGGGAGAGGAUGGUAGAAUUCCAGGUGUAGCGGUGAAAUGCGUAGAGAUCUGGAGGAAUACCGAUGGCGAAGGCAGCCAUCUGGCCUAAUACUGACGCUGAGGUACGAAAGCAUGGGGAGCAAACAGGAUUAGAUACCCUGGUAGUCCAUGCCGUAAACGAUGUCUACUAGCCGUUGGGGCCUUUGAGGCUUUAGUGGCGCAGCUAACGCGAUAAGUAGACCGCCUGGGGAGUACGGUCGCAAGACUAAAACUCAAAUG
RNAcentral lists this ribosomal RNA (800 nucleotides) under bacterium. Its description in RNAcentral is "bacterial SSU rRNA". It matches the Rfam family "Bacterial small subunit ribosomal RNA", at positions 112 to 907 of the family's 1533-position model. The record is from RNAcentral.